GAUGAAGAACGCAGCGAAAUGCGAUAAGUAAUGUGAAUUGCAGAAUUCAGUGAAUCAUCGAAUCUUUGAACGCACAUUGCGCCCGCCAGUAUUCUGGCGGGCAUGCCUGUUCGAACGUCAUUUUCACCAUCAAGCUCUGCUUGUGUUGGGGUCCUGCGGCUGCCCGCAGGCCCUGAAACCCAGUGGCGGGCCCGCUAGUCACACCGAGCGCAGUAGCACAUCUCGCUCAGGGCGUGCGGCGGGUUCUUGCCGUAAAACAACCCCCCCUUUUCACCAAGGUUGACCUCGGAUCAGGUAGGAAUACCCGCUGAACUUAAGCAUAUCAAUAAGCGGAGGA
Molecule: unclassified non-coding RNA, 337 nt
Filed under: soil metagenome
Description: partial contains 5.8S ribosomal RNA, internal transcribed spacer 2, and large subunit ribosomal RNA
Rfam family: 5.8S ribosomal RNA (bases 1-120)
Source: RNAcentral